GAUGAACGCUGGCGGCGUGCUUAACACAUGCAAGUCGAGCGAAGCGCUUUGGCGGAUUUCUUCGGAUUGAAGCCUUGGUGACUGAGCGGCGGACGGGUGAGUAACGCGUGGGUAACCUGCCUCAUACAGGGGGAUAACAGUUGGAAACGACUGCUAAUACCGCAUAAGCGCACAGUACCGCAUGGUACGGUGUGAAAAACUCCGGUGGUAUGAGAUGGACCCGCGUCUGAUUAGGUAGUUGGUGGGGUAACGGCCUACCAAGCCGACGAUCAGUAGCCGACCUGAGAGGGUGACCGGCCACAUUGGGACUGAGACACGGCCCAAACUCCUACGGGAGGCAGCAGUGGGGAAUAUUGCACAAUGGGGGAAACCCUGAUGCAGCGACGCCGCGUGAGCGAUGAAGUAUUUCGGUAUGUAAAGCUCUAUCAGCAGGGAAGAAAAUGACGGUACCUGACUAAGAAGCCCCGGCUAACUACGUGCCAGCAGCCGCGGUAAUACGUAGGGGGCAAGCGUUAUCCGGAUUUACUGGGUGUAAAGGGAGCGUAGACGGCAUGGCAAGCCAGAUGUGAAAGCCCGGGGCUCAACCCCGGGACUGCAUUUGGAACUGUCAGGCUAGAGUGUCGGAGAGGAAAGCGGAAUUCCUAGUGUAGCGGUGAAAUGCGUAGAUAUUAGGAGGAACACCAGUGGCGAAGGCGGCUUUCUGGACGAUGACUGACGUUGAGGCUCGAAAGCGUGNGGAGCANACAGG
This 748-nucleotide ribosomal RNA is filed under the name uncultured bacterium. RNAcentral's name for it is "bacterial SSU rRNA". It matches the Rfam family "Bacterial small subunit ribosomal RNA", at positions 28 to 776 of the family's 1533-position model. The record is from RNAcentral.